GACGAACGCUGGCGGCGUGCCUAAUACAUGCAAGUUGAGCGCUGAAGGUUGGUACUUGUACCAACUGGAUGUGCAGCGUACGGGUGAGUAACUCGUUGGGAAUCUGCCUUUGAGCGGGGGACAACAUUUGGAAACGAAUGCUCAUACCGCAUAAAAACUUUAAUCACAAGUUUUAAGUUUGAAAGAUGCAAUUGCAUCACUCAAAGAUGAUCCCGCGUUGUAUUAGCUAGUUGGUGAGGUAAAGGCUCACCAAGGCGAUGAUACAUAGCCGACCUGAAAGGGUGAUCGGACACAUUGGGACUGAGAAACGGCACAAACACCGACGGGAGGCAGCAGUAGGGAAUCUUAGGCAAUGGACGAAAGUCUGACAGAGCAAAGCCGCGUGAGUGAAGAAGGUGUUCGGAUCGUAAAACGAUGUUGGUAGAGAAGAACGUAGGUGAGAGUGGAAAGGACAUCAAGUGACGGAAACUAACAAGAAAGGGACGGCUAACUACGU
This 496-nucleotide ribosomal RNA is filed under the name uncultured bacterium. Its description in RNAcentral is "partial 16S ribosomal RNA". It matches the Rfam family "Bacterial small subunit ribosomal RNA", at positions 28 to 506 of the family's 1533-position model. The record is from RNAcentral.